Molecule: long non-coding RNA, 352 nt
Filed under: Pogona vitticeps (central bearded dragon)
Lineage: Eukaryota; Metazoa; Chordata; Lepidosauria; Squamata; Agamidae
Description: lncRNA (ENSPVIG00000022524.1)
Source: RNAcentral
UAAAGGCCAAUGAAAACGGCAUGGUACUGUAGCUGAAACUAGGAUAAUUUAUCUUUAAGCAACCCGAUUUAUCUUUAAAACUUCACAACAUCAUACUUGGUAGUACAUGUGUUGAUAUUCCUUAGAGAUAUCUUCAAAGCCUAAUGGAAACUCAGGGUUGUUUCACUUGUUGCAGGUGUGAUAGGUAUAUCAUUGGAAGCAGUUUUUAACAGAUCUGAGCCCUACAGCCAUUUUGUGUGUGUGUGUAAAAAUACCUUAUGGCAACUGCCUACAUUCCUUUUUUGAGCACUGCAGUGGACAAAUGGAAAGAGAGGAUCUGCUGACAGAGAUGGCAAUAUAUUUUCUCCUCUGA